RNAcentral lists this ribosomal RNA (484 nucleotides) under uncultured bacterium. RNAcentral's name for it is "partial 16S ribosomal RNA". It matches the Rfam family "Bacterial small subunit ribosomal RNA", at positions 30 to 507 of the family's 1533-position model. The record is from RNAcentral.
AUUGAACGCUGGCGGCAGGCCUAACACAUGCAAGUCGAGCGGAUGAAGGGAGCUUGCUCCUGGAUUCAGCGGCGGACGGGUGAGUAAUGCCUAGGAAUCUGCCUGGUAGUGGGGGAUAACGUCCGGAAACGGGCGCUAAUACCGCAUACGUCCUGAGGGAGAAAGUGGGGGAUCUUCGGACCUCACGCUAUCAGAUGAGCCUAGGUCGGAUUAGCUAGUUGGUGGGGUAAAGGCCUACCAAGGCGACGAUCCGUAACUGGUCUGAGAGGAUGAUCGGUCACACUGGAACUGAGACACGGUCCAGACUCCUACGGGAGGCAGCAGUGGGGAAUAUUGGACAAUGGGCGAAAGCCUGAUCCAGCCAUGCCGCGUGUGUGAAGAAGGUCUUCUGAUUGUAAAGCACUUUAAGUUGGGAGGAAGGGCAGUAAGUUAAUACCUUGCUGUUUUGACGUUACCAACAGAAUAAGCACCGGCUAACUUCGUG